GAUGAACGCUGGCGGCGUGCUUAACACAUGCAAGUCGAACGGAAAGGCUCCUGCUUGCAGGGGUACUCGAGUGGCGAAAGGGUGAGUAACACGUGGGUGAUCUGCCCUGUACUUCGGGAUAAGACUGGGAAACUGGGCCUAAUACAGGACAGGACGAUGGUUUGGAUGCUAUUGUGGAAAGUUUUUCGGUGUGGGAUGGGCUCGUGGCCUAUCAGCUUGUUGGCGGGGUAAUGGCCUACCAAGGCGUCGACGGGUAGCCGGCCUGGGAGGGUGUACGGCCACAUUGGAACGGGAAUGCGGCCCAGACUCCUCCGGUAGGCAGCGGUGGGGAAUAGUACACAGUGGGCGGAAGCAUGAUGCGGCGACGCCGCGUGGGGGAUGACGGCCUUCGGGUUGUAAACUCCUUUCGCUAGGGACGAAGCGCAAGUGACGGUACCUGGAAAAGAAGCACCGGCUAACUACGUG
RNAcentral lists this ribosomal RNA (465 nucleotides) under uncultured bacterium. RNAcentral describes it as "partial 16S ribosomal RNA". It matches the Rfam family "Bacterial small subunit ribosomal RNA", at positions 28 to 507 of the family's 1533-position model. The record is from RNAcentral.